Molecule: transfer RNA, 72 nt
Filed under: Lytechinus variegatus (green sea urchin)
Lineage: Eukaryota; Metazoa; Echinodermata; Echinoidea; Temnopleuroida; Toxopneustidae
Description: tRNA-Leu
Rfam family: tRNA
About the family: Transfer RNA (tRNA) molecules are approximately 80 nucleotides in length.
Source: RNAcentral
GUCUCUGUGGUCUAGUGGUUAAGACACCCGUGUUAAAAUCUGGGGGCCCGGGUUCGAUUCCCGGCGGAGACU